Molecule: ribosomal RNA, 541 nt
Filed under: uncultured archaeon
Lineage: Archaea
Description: bacterial SSU rRNA
Rfam family: Archaeal small subunit ribosomal RNA
Source: RNAcentral
CGGGGUGCAGCAGGCGCGAAACCUUUACACUGCACGCACGUGCGAUAAGGGGACUCCGAGUGCGAGGGCAUAUCGUCCUCGCUUUCGUGUACCGUAGGGUGGUACACCAACAAGGGCUGGGCAAGACCGGUGCCAGCCGCCGCGGUAAUACCGGCAGCCCGAGUGAUGGCCGAUCUUAUUGGGCCUAAAGCGUCCGUAGCUGGCUGCGCAAGUCCGUCGGGAAAUCCACUCGCCCAACGAGUGGGCGUCCGACGGAAACUGCACAGCUUGGGACCGGAAGGCUCGAAGGGUACGUUCGGGGUAGGAGUGAAAUCCCAUAAUCCCGCACGGACCACCGAUGGCGAAAGCACUUCGAGAAAACGGAUCCGACAGUGAGGGACGAAAGCCAGGGUCUCCAACCGGAUUAGAUACCCGGGUAGUCCUGGCCGUAAACAAUGUUCGCUAGGUAUGACACAGACUACGCGUCUCUGUUGUGCCGUAGGGAAGCCGAGAAGCGAACCGCCUGGGAAGUACGUCUGCAAGGAUGAAACUUAAAGGAAUU